Molecule: unclassified non-coding RNA, 342 nt
Filed under: soil metagenome
Description: partial contains 5.8S ribosomal RNA, internal transcribed spacer 2, and large subunit ribosomal RNA
Rfam family: 5.8S ribosomal RNA (bases 3-117)
Source: RNAcentral
AUAGAACGUAGCGAAAUGCGAUACGUAAUGUGAAUUGCAGAAUUCAGUGAAUCAUCGAGUCUUUGAACGCACAUUGCGCCCCCUGGUAUUCCGGGGGGCAUGCCUGUCCGAGCGUCAUUGCUGCCCUCAAGCCCGGCUUGUGUGUUGGGUCUCGUCCCCCUUCCCGGGGGGACGGGCCCGAAAGGCAGCGGCGGCACCGCGUCCGGUCCUCGAGCGUAUGGGGCUUUGUCACCGCUCUGUAGGCCCGGCCGGCGCUUGCCGAUCAACCAAAACUUUUUUCCAGGUUGACCUCGGAUCAGGUAGGGAUACCCGCUGAACUUAAGCAUAUCAAUAAGCGGAGGA